RNAcentral lists this ribosomal RNA (1167 nucleotides) under Triticum aestivum (bread wheat). RNAcentral's name for it is "partial small subunit ribosomal RNA". Lineage: Eukaryota; Viridiplantae; Streptophyta; Magnoliopsida; Poales; Poaceae. The record is from RNAcentral.
UGGAAUGGCGACAGUAGGGAAUCCAAGCAGGCUUUGGUUAAAUAUGGGCCAGUUAAUUUCCACCACCUAAGAUUCCCUAAAGAUGAGAAGAAGAGGGUCAGUGCACAGUGCUCUUGGCCUGGAUGUCCUUGGAGCAUCUAUGGAUCAAUUAGCAGCAGGUCUGAUUGGCUACAAGUUGUGAGGUACAACAAUGAGCACACAUGCAUUCCUAGGAGGGACAACAAGCUGGUUACUAGCACAGUUAUUGCAAAAAAAUAUUUCAGGCAGAUUAGGGACAAUCCUACUUGGAGGGUGGAGAAAAUGCAAGAGGCAGUACUUGAGGAUUUGCUAGCUGAUGUGAAUCUCUCAAAGUGCAAAAGGGCUAAAAAGCUUGUCAUGGCAAAGCUCACUGAUAUGACCAAUGGUGAGUACUCUAGAGUGUUUGACUACCACCUAGAAUUAGUUAGAAGCAAUCCAGGGAGCACUGUAGCUGUUUGUUUAGAUCCAGACAUUCAUGACAAGCCAGUCUUUCAGAGAAUGUAUGUGUGCCUUGAGGGUUGCAAAAAAGGGUUUCUAGCUGGAUGCAGAAGAGUGGUGGGAUUAGAUGGCUGCUUUCUGAAAGGGGCAGUAACAAGGCAAAUUUUGUCUGCUAUUGGCAGAGAUGCUAAUAAUCAGAUGUACCCACUUGCUUGGGCCACAGUUGAGGUUGAAAGCUAUGAGUCAUGGUAUUGGUUUCUCUCACUUCUCCAAAAGGACCUACAGAUAAGCAAUCAUGGUGAUGGAUGGGUUUUCUUAUCUGAUCAACAGAAGGGUCUUAUCAGGUCUGUUAAUGAAAUUAUUCCUGAAGCGGAGCACAGAAUGUGUGCCAGACAUAUAUAUGCAAAUUGGAGGAAGCAACAUAGGGAGAAGAAAUUGCAGAAAAUGUUUUGGGCAUGUGCCAAGUCCUUUGAUAGGAGCCAGUUCAACUACAACAAAGCCAAAUUAGCACAGAAAAGUCCAGAAGGAGCUAGAGAUAUUAUGAACACUGCACCAGAACACUGGAGUAGAGCAUACUUCAAACUAGGCUCAUGGUGUGAUUCAGUUGAGAAUAAUAUGUGUGAAUCAUUCAACAAUGCAAUUAUGAGGUCAAGGUUUUACCCUGUCAUCACAUCACAUGAGAUCAUUAGAAAGAAGAUGAUGGCACGGAUA